AUGAUUGGCCUAACGGCCUUAUCAACAUAAUCCCUCACCUCUGUGAACCGUUGACCUCCGGGUCUACAUAACAAACAUCAGUGUAAAGAACGUCUUUAUAUUUUAACAAAAUAAAACUUUCAACAACGGAUCUCUUGGCUCUCGCAUCGAUGAAGAACGCAGCGAAAUGCGAUAAGUAAUGUGAAUUGCAGAAUUCAGUGAAUCAUCGAAUCUUUGAACGCACCUUGCGCCUUUUGGUAUUCCGAAAGGCAUGCCUGUUUGAGUGUCAUGAAAUCUCAAUCCCCCCGGGUUUUCUGAACCCGAGGUGGACUUGGACAUGGGUGUCUGCCGUCUCGUACGGCUCGCCUUAAAUGACUCAGUGGGAUCUUCAGCAUCCGUGGCAGACGUAAUAAGUUUCGUCUCGUCCCUUGCUGUGAGGACCGCUCAUAACCUGCCAUCGCGCACCACUUUUGACUCUGACCUCAAAUCAGGUAGGACUACCCGCUGAACUUAAGCAUAUCAAUAAGCGGAGGA
Molecule: ribosomal RNA, 513 nt
Filed under: Papiliotrema fonsecae
Lineage: Eukaryota; Fungi; Basidiomycota; Tremellomycetes; Tremellales; Rhynchogastremaceae
Description: eukaryotic LSU rRNA
Rfam family: 5.8S ribosomal RNA (bases 115-268)
Source: RNAcentral